Molecule: ribosomal RNA, 478 nt
Filed under: uncultured bacterium
Lineage: Bacteria
Description: partial 16S ribosomal RNA
Rfam family: Bacterial small subunit ribosomal RNA
Source: RNAcentral
AUUGAACGCUGGCGGCAGGCUUAACACAUGCAAGUCGAGCGAUGAAGUUCCUUCGGGAACGGAUUAGCGGCGGACGGGUGAGUAACACGUGGGUAACCUGCCUCAUAGAGGGGAAUAACCUUCCGAAAGGAAGAUUAAUACCGCAUAAGAUUGUAAUGCCGCAUGGCAUAGCAAUUAAAGGAGCAAUCCGCUAUGAGAUGGACCCGCGUCGCAUUAGCUAGUUGGUGAGGUAACGGCUCACCAAGGCGACGAUGCGUAGCCGACCUGAGAGGGUGAUCGGCCACAUUGGGACUGAGACGCGGCCCAGACUCCUACGGGAGGCAGCAGUGGGGAAUAUUGCACAAUGGGGGAAACCCUGAUGCAGCAACGCCGCGUGAGUGAUGACGGUCUUCGGAUUGUAAAGCUCUGUCUUCAGGGACGAUAAUGACGGUACCUGAGGAGGAAGCCACGGCUAACUACGUGCCAGCCGCCGCGGUAA